This 6414-nucleotide long non-coding RNA is filed under the name Malus domestica (apple). RNAcentral's name for it is "long non-coding RNA (MDOM_LNC002927)". The record is from RNAcentral. Lineage: Eukaryota; Viridiplantae; Streptophyta; Magnoliopsida; Rosales; Rosaceae.
ACCGAAAGAAAUAGAGUGAAGCCUCUAAUUUUCUUGCUGCCUUGCUCUCUGGAGCUUUUCUUUUGUAUUGCUGUGCUUCCCCGCCAGUCUCUCCCUGCGCUGUCCAUCUCUUAUAUUUUUCUGUGCAGCUUGCAGUUUUGCUGCUUCUCUCACUCCCGUCUGACCUCUGCCACGCUGCCAAGGCAGCGUUCCUUUUCGCGUCAAUCCUCCCCUGUUUUUCAGCGCCUCUUCCGUUCUCUGCGAGCUGCCCAAAGGCAGCUCCCUUCUCCCACUCCAAGACCCCCCCUAUGCAGUGCUUUCUGUUUCUUUAUUCCUCUUGUUCUCUGCUUUUGACUCCUUGGAUUCCUUCUCCGCGUCCAGCUGCAAAGCAGCUCUCUCUCUUGGAUCCCUUUCACGUUUUCUGCUUUUCUCUAUUGCUCACGCUGUCUCUCCACUUCUUCUAUUUAAUUUCUCAGUGCUUUCCACUUUCUUCUCCUACAAACACAAUAAAUUAAAAGUAUCAUAAAUACUUAAAGCUUCCAACUAAAUUAGACAAGAAAAGAAAUAUAAAAGGAUGAAAUAUAUAGUUUAAAUAUUGGUUUAUCAUUUAGCGUCACAAUGGGUUAGCAAUAUUGUAAUUUAAAUUUGCUUUUGACGAAUUUAUUACAUAAAAUUUCACUUGUUCUAUUUUUAUUUUCUUUGCAUAACAAAUCCUAUAAACACAAAAAUAACGUAAAUAGCUCAAAAAUAUAAGGAACUAACUAAGAAAAGACGAGUGAAUUCGAAGUAAAAAUAUAUAUAAAUAUGAUCCGAUCAAAUACCCCCACACUUAACUUUUGCUAGUCCUCGAGCAAAACAAAGAAAACAAGAACAAGAAGUAACAAGAAAAACAUUAGCUUCCCCCUAUGUGACCCUCAUAGAAUUUCAUUCAAGAAAACAAAUCAUCAAGAACCAUAGCUAGCACCAAACAAGUUAAUCCAAGUUCAAAUUCCUAAUUCAAAUAUUAGCAGUAAUCUUUGAAUCAUCCUUGAAGUGUAGUGUGUGAGAUAGCCAUGCUAAUGCAAUUUCAAGUUUUUAUUUUUAAAAUCAUCAUAUGCAAACUAGCGACCUUCUCACUGAAUAUUCACUCAAUCACACAUGUGUUUAGUUUUAAUGUGUUUCGCUCAAAGAAUCAAAUGUGAAAUUUCUACCAUAAGCUUGCAUAAAGAUCUCAUCUCCACAAUCAUAAUUGCAAAACUUAAAUCAAGAGGACUUUUAUUGGACGUAAUGAGGUUUAGGGAGAGGGGUAUUGAAAUGAAAGAAUAGGUAAACACAAGUUCCAAGCUACAUUGCAAGCAAUUCUUUUGUUUAGAUUUAUAAGAACUCAAUAUUUUCAGCGAUUCUUCUAGCACCUCCAACCACACCCUUAAACUGAAAAUUAAACAACUUUUCAUUUUCUUUGUAUACAAUCUUUUUUUUUUUUUUUUUUUUUUUUUUUUUUUUUUUUUUUUUUUUUUUUUUUACAAACAUGAAAUACCCCCACACUUAUUCUUUUGCCAAACACCUUCUUAGUACUUCACAAACAUUUCUCAUAAGACAAUCUCACAUUGCUCACUAGCUUACUUGGAAAGGGUAAGGAAAAAAAAAUGUUUCAGGUAUAAGGGUAGACAUAUCUGGUGAUAAGAAAUAAAAGGCUCAACAUACACGGCUCAAAUUGGCAAUCUAAUGAUAUCAUUUUUAUUUGGGAAACAUGGUUAUUUGGGCCAUAGUGGUAAACCUAAUGCCUCUAUCAUUUCCAAGUUCAUGCAAUCAAUGACAAACAUUUCGAAAGAUCGUUACGCAAGUUCUAGAGAUGUAUCUCACAUAAGUUCAUCACACAUGAAAGAAUAGGAGUGUAUGAAAAAUGCACACACUUUCAAUCGGCUCAAAAACUCACAUAGGAUGUAUAUGGUCACUAAAUUCACAUAUGAUGCUUUAAGUCAUACUUUAGUUUCACAUUAACAAGGCUAUGUGCAUUUGGUUUUUCAAAGAUGGUCAAACAUGUACAAAACUAACAAGAGAAUUAGGAAUUUCAUAAAGCACAUGUUAACUAAGUUCUUGAUAAUCGUGAUUCAAGAUUGAUCUAAUUAUAUCAUUGGGUCGGGAAACUAACAAAAAUCUAAUUCAAAACAAUAAGGGAAACAAGACAAUAUUUUUGGAUUUUUAAAUUUUCCGAAAUUUUUUUAAUUAAAUUUUUUUUUUUUAAAAGAAAACAAAACUAAUUAAGAACACAAAAAACAACAACACAGUUUUUUUUUAUUUUUUUAUUUUAAAAGAAAACAAAACUAAUUAAGAACACAAAAAAACAACAACACAGAGACAAAUGAAAUUCUGGAGAUUUCUACCCCCACACUUAAACUUGACAUUGUCCCCAAUGUCAGAAAACACUAUAAUGCAAAUAAAAAUAAAAUAAAUAAAUAAUAAGAAACAAAAUAAAACAAUUGGACUGAAAACUUCCCUAAUUUGCAGUAAAAUCAAGCGAUGACCCCCAAGCUAAAAUUCUGCAAUCAACUUCAAGGGUGGAAAUAACCAAAAGUUCCUGCAAAGAAAAGGAAAAAUUCAGUUAAGUACGCAAGAAAAUUAAUUAAAAAAAAUUGCAAACGAAAAAUUGAAAAUUACGAUAAAAGAUAAUGAAUAAAACUAAUAAGUAAUCAUUGGUCGUGCUUGUUGACUUUCCACAGCUUUCCUCUUGAACGGGGUGACACUUAGCUUUUUACUAUUUGAUGAUAUUGUACGGCGGAGCUUUGCUCUUUGGGAAUGUUGCAGUUCCUUAUUUGUUCUCCAAGCAGAUGUGGCAGCUUCUCUUGUUCUUCAUCUCAGACUCCUUCUGCUGGGAUGAUUGUGCAAGCUGCAUUCUUCUCUGCUUGUUUCCUCUGCAUGGCGGGCAGGCACGAGGGAGAGGUGUUGGUCUGUUUCUUUCUUCAAUCUUUCCAAGUGCCCACCUCUUGCUCUCUUUCUCCUUGUCCUUAGUUGAGGAUGAAUCAGCACGUUGUCUCCACAUGCUUCGAGGUAUCAUCUUCACUUCCCUUAUAAGUGAGAAACAAAGCGAAAGCACAAGAUGAUGAGUACUCGAGAGCAGGUGCUGGCUGGAGAAAGGACAGGGAGAAAGCAUGAUAUGAGAUACUCUUGCUUUCAACCUUCAUGAUAUGAAAUACUUUUGCUUUGAAUGGGUUGUUCGCAGGAGUAUCCCAAGGAAUGAGGAAUACAGAGUGACUCGAGAGGGUUCUUUGGGAAUGCAUUUUUGGAGAUGAAGAAGUGUUGAGAGGGUGUGCUGAGAGAGUGUGCUUUUGCUGUGGAAGGCGAAGGUAGAAACUUAUAGGACUUGUCUUCACAACCGGAACUGUUCUCUCACUUAGUGUCGGCAGCCGGUGGAUGGGUGAAGAAUACAAAUUACGCGCUUUCUGACAAAGCUGCCCGUAAUUUCCGCAAAGCUGCCAGUUGCAUGUGACAAGUGCUGACUAGGCUGAGAGAGACAGAUGGUUGGAAUCGGCACUUCGAGCUCUGAGCAUCGUCGAUUGUAGAGGUAGCAUGUGACACGUGCGGAUAAAUCUGGAAAAGAAGAUUUGCCCGUGGGUUGAAGCCCAGCUUUUGAGAAAGCUAGCGUGUCUUUGACUGUUGAAUUUCCCUCUUCGAUUUCUGAAUUGGUGCUUCGACAAACUGCCCGAGAUUUCCGCAAAGCAAUUUACGUGUGACAAGUGACGACACGUCCGGACAAAUUGAUCUUUUGAAAUCCGGGGUUCUGCUCGUGGUUUCUGAGCAAGCCCAGCCUUUAAGAAAUGAAACGCCUCUUUUGAGAAAAGAAUCCGGCUUUUGAGAAAGGAGCCCCGACUCUUCGAUUUGCGAGAGGACGCUUCUCUGAGGAGCGCCUCUCCGAUUUCUUCUUUUUAUAGAGGCGUUAAGCUUGUUCCACAACACACUUGAGCACCCUCCUGUAAACACUCCCUUCUUGCACUUGUUUAAUCUUGAUCAUUCCGACUCUCUUCUUUCUUCACCACCUCUUAAAAAUGUCUGGCCCUUCUGAUCGUCGUUUUGACUUGAACAUUGGUGAAGAGGCAGCUCCGCCUUCACCAGACAACAUAUGGCGGCCAACCUUCAUAUCCCCUACCGGUCCUCUUACCGUGGGGGAUUCGGUGAUAAAAAAUGACAUGACCGCUGCGGUGGUGGCCCGAAACCUUGUCACUCCCAGAGAUAACAGACUGCUCGCUAGACGGUCCGAUGAAUUGGCGGUUAAGGAGUCUCUGGCUCUUAGCGUGCAGUGUGCGGGUUCUGUAUCCAACAUGGCCCAACGCCUAUUUGCUCGAACCCGUCACGUUGAAUCGUUGGUGGCUGAAAUACAGAGUCUCAAAGAGGAGAUUAGAGGACUCAAACAUGAAAAUAAACAAUUGCACAAGCUUGCACACAAUUAUGCCACAACCAUGAAGAGGAAGAUUGACCAGAUGCAGGACACCGAUGGUCAAAUUUUACUUGAUCAUCGGAGGUUUGUGGGUUUGUUCCAACAACAUCUGCCUUCGUCUUCUGGAGCGGCACCGCGUAGUGAAGCUCCAACUGAUCAACCUCUGCCGCCUCCUCCUUCUGUGGCCCCGCCGACUGCUGAAGCCCCGCCUACUACUGAAGCACCACCCGACCAAUGAAUACUAUUAGUUUACAUUAUUGUAAAAUAUUUGUACUUUUUUUUUUUUUUUUUUUUUUUUAAAUUUUUAUUUUUUUUUUAAUUUUUUUUAUGUAUUUUUUUUUUAUCAUUAAUUUUAAAUUUUAUCUUUUUUUUUUUUUUUUAUGUAAAUUAAUGUAAAGAGACUUUGGUUAAUCUUCCCCCACACUUAAACUAAAUAACACAAACUCACAGAAAUCAACCAAAUAACACAACUAACUAAACAAAACAAAAUGAAAGCAGUAAAGAUAAGGUUGGAAGAAUGCAAAGCUGAUUGGGUUAGCGAUUCCAAAGUCUCCCUUCGUUGAAUGCUUGGGUUGCCUCCCAAGAAGCGCUUGAUUUAACGUCUUUAGCCGGACGCAUCUUUCCUUUAAAUUUCCCUCGGCUCCAUUUGAACCUAAAAUCAAAGAAAGAAAAAUAAAUCAAAUAUCAAAAGUAAAAUACACAAACACCAAUAUAAACAUAAACAAAAACAAAAAUAAAAGGAUUAGCAAAGUUGCUAAUCCCCGGCAACGGCGCCAAAAUUUGAUGUGAAAAUUUCUUGACACACAAAUUAAACCCUCUUUUUGACAAUUGUAGUAUAGAUGUAAGUAGGGUAUCGUUCUAGGCCGGGGAUUAGGAGGGAUUGCUAAUCUAUUGUAAAUUAAUUUAAAAAUAUUAAAUAAGACUCAAGGACACAAAACUAGGCUAAAAACUCUAAUAACUCGAAACACACUUAAAAUGACUCAAAAUAAUGAAAACAAUUAAAUUAAACACUAGGAACUGAAAUGGACGGAAAUUAAAUUAAAAGACUAACAAUAAAGAAAACUAACUAAAUAAUAUAAUUUAAUAAUGGAUGGGUGUUUGGUUUUGAUGAAAAGUAAAUUAAACUUAAUUAAAUUACAGAAUUGACAAAAAUAUGAAAUUAAGGUGAAAGAAUAGGUGACAGACUAGCUAGAGGGUUCUUCUCCACACAUGUUAUACUUGCAUACAAAAUGAUUUCCAGUUGUUCAUUUAAUAAAUUGUAAAUUUCAAUACUCCAGAUUAACCGUGAACAGCACUUUUUUAAUCUUCAAGUUUUCCUUAAGUUAUUGAAUUGGACGGAAAAACGCAUACAACAAUUCAAAACAUUCUUCAAAAGUCCCCUACGUGAAAAGCACAAUAGCGAUACAAUCAAAGAUCAUUAAACUUUGUGAAAACUAUAAGCAUUGACGAGGCAUUCGUAACUAUGAAAAAGCAUGAUACUCUUGCCAAGAAUUUACUUAACGUGAUUGUGACUAGCAACCUUUACUACUUGUGAAAAUAAGUUCAUAACGAUUAGGUGAAAUUUCACUUAUAUUCUAGCAUCAAAUUCAUGCAUGUAAAUUAAGCGUGCACUCUCAACCAACAUACACAAAUCAGUUUUUAUACGAACGGAUAAGUAAAUUGAAUUCACAACUUAUAACUCACAACUGAAGGUAAUCAAUUCAUAUUACAAAUAUAUUCAUGGUUUCGAAUUAACCUCUAACCAACAUAAAUUUAAUUACACAUUAUUAAAAACAGAAAUAAAAGAGGAGUUUGAAAAGAUUAAACCGAAAGAAAUAGAGUGAAGCCUCUAAUUUUCUUGCUGCCUUGCUCUCUGGAGCUUUUCUUUUGUAUUGCUGUGCUUCCCCGCCAGUCUCUCCCUGCGCUGUCCAUCUCUUAUAUUUUUCUGUGCAGCUUGCAGUUUUGCUGCUUCUCUCACUCCCGUCUGACCUCUGCCACGCUGCCAAGGCAGCGUUCCUUUUCGCGUCAAUCCUCCCCUGUUUUUC